RNAcentral lists this long non-coding RNA (594 nucleotides) under Gallus gallus (chicken). Lineage: Eukaryota; Metazoa; Chordata; Aves; Galliformes; Phasianidae. The record is from RNAcentral.
GGACUGCGUUCCUCGGGCUUCGCGGAGCGCGGGGAAGUUUCUCUCCACUCGACUGUGAGAGACCUUUCCCAUCUCCGCUGCGAAGCGCCGGGCUCCCCGUUGUGCCCCGCUCCGUGCCAGGAGCCAUUUCGCUGCCGCCGGUUUCCAGGGGCUGCAUCCAGGGAAGCGCCAGCGGCGGUGUGCCGGCAGCCGCCGCUUAGCCGGAGCGAAUCCGGCCGGGCUGCUGCGGGAGGGUGCGAGACGGACGUAACUUUCCUUCUGAAAAACGAUGUUUGAGGAGUGUAGUCUGAAGUGUUCUGUGCAAGAUGUGUAAGCUACAUGGCGAGCUUUGUCUCUGUUCAUGAUCUUGCAAUUAUCUGUACCGACUCCUAAAAAUAAAGCAUCACACACAAGUCUCUCUGCCAGUGCAGAGGAUAUUGAUGCUCGGGUACAUGUUUGAAAUGUUUAUGGAACAGCAUGAAAGCUAAUUCUCAUGGUCUGCUGCUGAAAAUUUGAAAAUAUGGCUUGUGUAAUGCCAGGCAAAUAUUCUCAUUAGAUAACUGGCUAGAAAAUAGUGUUUCAUCAUUACAGAAGGCAAGUUUCUUCUACCUGCAC